AUGCAGCACUUGGCAGGACUGCGAGCUCUUCAGUCCAUCAGAGUCACUCGAGAGUUUCUGCGUGAAGUUGGUGCUCUGACGGAGCUAAGAACAUUCGGUGUCUGCAACGUGAGAAGUGAACACUCUGCUGAUUUGACCAAUGCUAUCAGCAGAAUGAGUCAUCUUGUUCAUCUCGAAAUUGCCGCUGCAGCUGAGAAUGAGGUGCUGCAGCUGGAAGGGCUAUAUUUACCUCCAACCCUUUCUUGGCUAGCUUUAGCAGGGCAGCUAGAAAAAACAACGAUGCCUCAGCUUUUCUCUUCUUGGUCACACCUUAAUAGCCUCACCCGGUUGCAACUGGUAUCCUCCAAUAUUGAUGACGAAACCUUUUCGUGUCUGCACGUGUUACAUGGUCUACGCUCUCUUGAGCUACUGAAGGCUUUUGAAGGGACGAGGUUGGAAUUUUACGCAGGGUCAUUUCCAGAACUUCGGCAUCUAGAGAUAUGGGGGGCGGCACAGCUCAACCAAGUUGGAAUAGAGGAGGGUGCGAUGCAAAACCUCGUCGAGCUAUGGUUCGGAGACUGUCCCGAGCUAAAGUUUCUUCCUGAUGGCAUCGAACACCUCGUAGCCCUUGAGAAGUUGCGUUUGGAGGACACAUCAGAAGAGCUGAUAGAGAAGCUCCGGCAGGAGAGAGAUUCAUGUGAAUGCGGUGAAGAUGUAAUGAAGAUUAGCCACAUAAGGAAUGUUACAGUUCAACUAAGGCAAAAAGGACUUUGGGAAAGGAUUAGGUGA
This 768-nucleotide ribosomal RNA is filed under the name Triticum aestivum (bread wheat). RNAcentral's name for it is "partial small subunit ribosomal RNA". The record is from RNAcentral. Lineage: Eukaryota; Viridiplantae; Streptophyta; Magnoliopsida; Poales; Poaceae.